AUUGAACGCUGGCGGCAUGCCUUACACAUGCAAGUCGAACGGUAACGGGUCCUUCGGGAUGCCGACGAGUGGCGAACGGGUGAGUAAUAUAUCGGAACGUGCCCAGUAGUGGGGGAUAACUGCUCGAAAGAGCAGCUAAUACCGCAUACGACCUGAGGGUGAAAGGGGGGGAUCGCAAGACCUCUCGCUAUUGGAGCGGCCGAUAUCAGAUUAGCUAGUUGGUGGGGUAAAGGCCUACCAAGGCAACGAUCUGUAGUUGGUCUGAGAGGACGACCAGCCACACUGGGGCUUAGACACGGCCCAGACUCCUACGGGAGGCAGCAGUGGGGAGUGUUGGACAAUGGGCGCAAGCCUGAUCCAGCAAUGCCGCGUGCAGGAAGAAGGCCUUCGGGUUGUAAACUGCUUUUGUCAGGGAAGAAAUCUUCUGGGCUAAUACCCCGGGAGGAUGACGGUACCUGAAGAAUAAGCACCGGCUAACUACGUGCCAGCAGCCGCCGUAA
Molecule: ribosomal RNA, 500 nt
Filed under: uncultured bacterium
Lineage: Bacteria
Description: partial 16S ribosomal RNA
Rfam family: Bacterial small subunit ribosomal RNA
Source: RNAcentral